UUAAGCGACUAAGCGUACACGGUGGAUGCCCUGGCAGUCAGAGGCGAUGAAGGGCGUGCUAAUCUGCGAUAAGCGCCGGUAAGGUGAUAUGAACCGUUAUAACCGGCGAUACCCGAAUGGGGAAACCCAGUGUGACUCGUCACACUAUCAUUAACUGAAUCCAUAGGUUAAUGAGGCGAACCGGGGGAACUGAAACAUCUAAGUACCCCGAGGAAAAGAAAUCAACCGAGAUUCCCCCAGUAGCGGCGAGCGAACGGGGAGGAGCCCAGAGCCUGAAUCAGCAUGUGUGUUAGUGGAAGCGUCUGGAAAGGCGCGCGAUACAGGGUGACAGCCCCGUACACAAAAGCGCAUGUGCUGUGAGCUCGAUGAGUAGGGCGGGACACGUGGUAUCCUGUCUGAAUAUGGGGGGACCAUCCUCCAAGGCUAAAUACUCCUGACUGACCGAUAGUGAACCAGUACCGUGAGGGAAAGGCGAAAAGAACCCCGGCGAGGGGAGUGAAAAAGAACCUGAAACCGUGUACGUACAAGCAGUGGGAGCACCCUUCGGGGUGUGACUGCGUACCUUUUGUAUAAUGGGUCAGCGACUUAUAUUCUGUAGCAAGGUUAACCGUAUAGGGGAGCCGGAGGGAAACCGAGUCUUAACCGGGCGUUAAGUUGCAGGGUAUAGACCCGAAACCCGGUGAUCUAGCCAUGGGCAGGUUGAAGGUUGGGUAACACUAACUGGAGGACCGAACCGACUAAUGUUGAAAAAUUAGCGGAUGACCUGUGGCUGGGGGUGAAAGGCCAAUCAAACCGGGAGAUAGCUGGUUCUCCCCGAAAGCUAUUUAGGUAGCGCCUCGUGAAUUCAUCUCCGGGGGUAGAGCACUGUUUCGGCUAGGGGGCCAUCCCGGCUUACCAACCCGAUGCAAACUGCGAAUACCGGAGAAUGUUAUCACGGGAGACACACGGCGGGUGCUAACGUCCGUCGUGAAGAGGGAAACAACCCAGACCGCCAGCUAAGGUCCCAAAGUCAUGGUUAAGUGGGAAACGAUGUGGGAAGGCCCAGACAGCCAGGAUGUUGGCUUAGAAGCAGCCAUCAUUUAAAGAAAGCGUAAUAGCUCACUGGUCGAGUCGGCCUGCGCGGAAGAUGUAACGGGGCUAAACCAUGCACCGAAGCUGCGGCAGCGAACGUAUCACUUAAAGCGAUUCAGCGGGUUACGAUUGACGGAGCGAAGCGACGUCAAAGCGUAUACAAAGUCGAGUCGGUUUAAGGAUACGUUCGUUGGGUAGGGGAGCGUUCUGUAAGCCCGUGAAGGUGGCCUGUGAGGGUUGCUGGAGGUAUCAGAAGUGCGAAUGCUGACAUAAGUAACGAUAAAGCGGGUGAAAAGCCCGCUCGCCGGAAGACCAAGGGUUCCUGUCCAACGUUAAUCGGGGCAGGGUGAGUCGACCCCUAAGGCGAGGCCGAAAGGCGUAGUCGAUGGGAAACGGGUUAAUAUUCCCGUACUUGGUGUUACUGCGAAGGGGGGACGGAGAAGGCUAUGUUGGCCGGGCGACGGUUGUCCCGGUUUAAGCGUGUAGGUGUGUGUUCCAGGUAAAUCCGGUUCACUUUAACACUGAGGCGUGACGACGAGGCACUACGGUGCUGAAGCAACAAAUGCCCUGCUUCCAGGAAAAGCCUCUAAGCAUCAGGUAACACGAAAUCGUACCCCAAACCGACACAGGUGGUCAGGUAGAGAAUACCAAGGCGCUUGAGAGAACUCGGGUGAAGGAACUAGGCAAAAUGGUGCCGUAACUUCGGGAGAAGGCACGCUGACACGUAGGUGAAGUGAUUUACUCAUGGAGCUGAAGUCAGUCGAAGAUACCAGCUGGCUGCAACUGUUUAUUAAAAACACAGCACUGUGCAAACACGAAAGUGGACGUAUACGGUGUGACGCCUGCCCGGUGCCGGAAGGUUAAUUGAUGGGGUCAGCGCAAGCGAAGCUCCUGAUCGAAGCCCCGGUAAACGGCGGCCGUAACUAUAACGGUCCUAAGGUAGCGAAAUUCCUUGUCGGGUAAGUUCCGACCUGCACGAAUGGCGUAAUGAUGGCCAGGCUGUCUCCACCCGAGACUCAGUGAAAUUGAACUCGCUGUGAAGAUGCAGUGUACCCGCGGCAAGACGGAAAGACCCCGUGAACCUUUACUAUAGCUUGACACUGAACAUUGAGCCUUGAUGUGUAGGAUAGGUGGGAGGCUUUGAAGUGUGGACGCCAGUCUGCAUGGAGCCGACCUUGAAAUACCACCCUUUAAUGUUUGAUGUUCUAACGUGGACCCGUAAUCCGGGUUGCGGACAGUGUCUGGUGGGUAGUUUGACUGGGGCGGUCUCCUCCUAAAGAGUAACGGAGGAGCACGAAGGUUGGCUAAUCCUGGUCGGACAUCAGGAGGUUAGUGCAAUGGCAUAAGCCAGCUUGACUGCGAGCGUGACGGCGCGAGCAGGUGCGAAAGCAGGUCAUAGUGAUCCGGUGGUUCUGAAUGGAAGGGCCAUCGCUCAACGGAUAAAAGGUACUCCGGGGAUAACAGGCUGAUACCGCCCAAGAGUUCAUAUCGACGGCGGUGUUUGGCACCUCGAUGUCGGCUCAUCACAUCCUGGGGCUGAAGUAGGUCCCAAGGGUAUGGCUGUUCGCCAUUUAAAGUGGUACGCGAGCUGGGUUUAGAACGUCGUGAGACAGUUCGGUCCCUAUCUGCCGUGGGCGCUGGAGAACUGAGGGGGGCUGCUCCUAGUACGAGAGGACCGGAGUGGACGCAUCACUGGUGUUCGGGUUGUCAUGCCAAUGGCACUGCCCGGUAGCUAAAUGCGGAAGAGAUAAGUGCUGAAAGCAUCUAAGCACGAAACUUGCCCCGAGAUGAGUUCUCCCUGAGACUUAGAGUCUCCUGAAGGAACGUUGAAGACGACGACGUUGAUAGGCCGGGUGUGUAAGCGCAGCGAUGCGUUGAGCUAACCGGUACUAAUGAACCGUGAGGCUUAACCUU
RNAcentral lists this ribosomal RNA (2985 nucleotides) under Salmonella enterica subsp. enterica serovar Typhimurium. RNAcentral's name for it is "bacterial LSU rRNA". It matches the Rfam family "Bacterial large subunit ribosomal RNA". The record is from RNAcentral. Lineage: Bacteria; Pseudomonadati; Pseudomonadota; Gammaproteobacteria; Enterobacterales; Enterobacteriaceae.